UUCUCGGUGGUCUAGGGGUAUGAUUCUCGCUUUGAGUGCGAGAGGUCCCGGGUUCAAAUCCCGGUCGAGCCCUUAAA
Molecule: non-coding RNA, 77 nt
Organism: Trichonephila clavipes
Lineage: Eukaryota; Metazoa; Arthropoda; Arachnida; Araneae; Nephilidae
Source: the annotation of a GenBank genome assembly